This 253-nucleotide ribosomal RNA is filed under the name uncultured bacterium. RNAcentral describes it as "partial 16S ribosomal RNA". It matches the Rfam family "Bacterial small subunit ribosomal RNA", at positions 524 to 776 of the family's 1533-position model. The record is from RNAcentral.
UACGUAGGGGGCAAGCGUUGUCCGGAUUUAUUGGGCGUAAAGAGCGUGUAGGCGGCUUUGCAAGUCCGUUGUGAAAACUCGAGGCUCAACCUCGAGACGCCGGUGGAAACUGCAAAGCUAGAGUCCGGAAGAGGAGAGUGGAAUUCCUGGUGUAGCGGUGAAAUGCGUAGAUAUCAGGAGGAACACCGGUGGUGUAGACGGCUUUCUGGACCGACACUGACGCUGAGACACGAAAGCGUGGGUAGCAAACAGG